AAUACCAAUCGGUCAAUGCAGGAAACCAACCCCGCCUCGUGCCAUUCCCCAUCUUUGUAUUUGUGUUAGGCCCAGCUCAAGGUAGAGGAAUAACAGGAGGCCAGAAAGAAUGAAGCUAGAAGGCAGAAGGCAUUUGAUCUGAAGGCAUGGUUCACAGAAAGUUGUUGAAGUGAAAGAUGAAGAGGAAUUUGUGGAGGAGCUGAAGACAUGACGUGGAAGAAAGAAGAAAGCAAACCCUAAACAUUAUAAUGAUGGAGACUGCUUGAUAUCUUGUUGUUUCAAGAAAUUCUGAUUAAGCUCUCAACCCGUGACCGAGUACUGCCCUGCCUAGCCACACGUCCAGGAUGCGGAAGAUGCGGCGCUUGCUGGAAAGCUGGUCAAGUAGGGCCCCCACUGUGUGUUUUAGCAGAUUGAUCCUGCACAUCACACUAACUGCUAGAAAUAAGUGGACUCAGAACAAUUUGCAAUCAUCAGUUGGAUAUUUGACGACUACAAUAUAUGCUGUUUUCUAUAUUGAGUUUGUAUAUUCGAUCUCACCACUUGUUAGCUUCCU
Molecule: long non-coding RNA, 553 nt
Organism: Triticum dicoccoides
Lineage: Eukaryota; Viridiplantae; Streptophyta; Magnoliopsida; Poales; Poaceae
Exons: 3
Source: RefSeq, a predicted model, not a curated record